GGAAGCUUCGCAGUGGAAGCAAAGUCUUGUGAGGCUGCUAAGUCUUUUCUGGGAAUGAUGGGGCUAGAAGGGGACGCUGGGUCCCCAGAAGCUGAACUUACAUGUGGCUGUGAGUCUCUCGAUGAAAGUUCUGGGAGCGUCACUUAGAUCCUCUAGAAGAACAGAAGGUUUUCAUGACCAUUGAACACCUCCCCAGCCCCUGCCUGCUUAAAGUGGAUGCAUUUUAUUGGAUUCUUGAAAAUAUGACAUUGGACGAGAGUUAUGAAUCACAUCCUGCUUCAGCAAACCUUCGACAAGAUGAGGCAAUGUAGAAAACAGUCUUGCAAUGCGAAGGCGGGCCUAUGUGCUGCCAGUCAUUGCCGGAGACCAGGGCCGUGUGUCCUUCAGCAGCAGCUUCUGUGGUUCCAUAAGGCGGAGAAAAAGGAGACCGAUGACCACAUCUACGUGAUUCGAACUCUUGUUUUUAGAGUCCUAGAUAAAUUGAGU
Molecule: long non-coding RNA, 486 nt
Filed under: Cricetulus griseus (Chinese hamster)
Lineage: Eukaryota; Metazoa; Chordata; Mammalia; Rodentia; Cricetidae
Description: lncRNA (ENSCGRG00015039284.1)
Source: RNAcentral